AUACAGAGGGUGCAAACGUUGUUCGGAAUUACUGGGCAUAAAGCGCGCGUAGGCGGUCAGGUAAGUGUGAAGUGAAAUCCCACGGCUCACCCGUGGAACUGCUUUGCAUACUGCUUGACUAGCGGAAGGUAGGGGAGAGCAGAACUCUUGGAGGAGCGGUGAAAUGCGUAGAUAUCAAGAGGAAUACCAGUGGCGAAGGCGGCUCUCUGGUCCUUUACUGACGCUGAGGUGCGAAAGCUAGGGUAGCGAACGGGAUUAGAAACCCUAGUAGUCC
Molecule: ribosomal RNA, 274 nt
Filed under: uncultured bacterium
Lineage: Bacteria
Description: partial 16S ribosomal RNA
Rfam family: Bacterial small subunit ribosomal RNA
Source: RNAcentral